GGACAUGAGCUGGUUGUUCAUCAGGAUUCGAUCAAUUCCACAGUUGGUCAGAACGUUCUCCUUCCAACCUCUUAUACCAUCUCUCUUCCUGUCAAAUACUGGCCAGCAAUACAGUGGAGUGCUGGUGAAUAUAACAUCGUUUUUUAUGCAUUGCUUAAUGCAAGCCUCAAUCCUCAAGGUUUUCCCAUAUGGACAGAUGGUAAAGCCACAAUAUACCCCCGGUUUAAAGGCAAAGUGGAAUUCUCCUGCAGAAAUGGUUCCCUCUUUCUGAAAAAUAUCCAACUGAAUGACAGUGGAACAUACUACGUUACAAUGCAUGACUUUGAAACUACCCAGAAAAAAAUAUAUAAAAUCAGUGUUUUGGUGCAGAGAACCACACUCUUACUUGGUAUGUUGGACAAUAAAUAAAAUAAAAAUAAAAUUCAUAAAUUACAUAAACUAAGAACUAGUAAAUGUUCAACUGAGUUAGUUUUUGUUAUAGGAUUUAAUGGAAAAAGGUUUAUCUCAUGUCCCUUAAAAGGAUCCUAUAGUGCCAGGAAAACAAAGCUGCUUUCCUGGCACUAUAGGUUCCUACAGUGCUCCCCUUCCUUGCACCCCACCCUCAUGCUGCACUGAAGGGGUUAAAACCUAUUGUCCCCCCAGGCUCCCACCCAUGAGUGGCAGGUGGAGGCCCUAAAUGACAAAGGGGAGGGCCUGUUGUGUCCCCUUCUGGCCCCCACCCAUGAGCAACGGGUGAAGGCCCUAAAUGACAAUGGAAGGGAGGACCUAUUGUCCCCCACCCACGAGCAGAUGGGAACCAAAUAUAAAAAUAUUCCCAAACCUCUAGUCACACACCGCUCCCCAAAAAUAUAAAAUAAAUCCCUAUCUACCCCCUCACCCAAAAAGUGAGUGGGGACAAUAAAAAUAAUACAUUUAUUUAAUACUUACCAUCUGAUUCUUUUUUUUCAGUCCCCAAAAAAGGGGGGGGGGAGGGGGAAUCCCGAUGCUAAAAAAAUAUUUAAUCUUCACUCAGUGAGGGCACCGCAGAGACUUAUAAAGCCUUCCCACUUAUGGCAAUUUGACUCAGUGCUCUCUGGCUUUACUACCUCUACUACUUCUUAUGCUUUUUUUAUUUUAUAAAUUCGACUGGCUUUAUGGAAUUUAAUUUGGCCUUUUUUGGGGCUGAAAAAAGGUUUUAGAAAAAGAAAUGACAUCAAAUGGUAAAUAUUUUUUUUAUUUACAAUUAGUUUCAUUGUUUCCCCCUCCUCACUAUUUUUAGGGUGAGGUACAUAGUUUUUUUUUUGGGGUGGGGGGCAGGAGGAGACUAGGGGCUUGGGGACCCCUAGUCACGCACUGUAGUUUUACAUUGGGCUCCCCAGUUGGUCCACCCCUGUAUUGUCAAUUAGGGCCCUCACCUGCCUUUCAUUGGUGGGUGUCAGGGACAAUAGCCCCCCCCUUACAGUCAUUUAGAACCUCAUGGAUGGGGCUCAAGGGGGACCUUAUGUCCCCUGUUUAGUUAAAUAGCCCCCACUCUAGUUAAUAGAUGCCCCACCAUAGAGCACUUUAUCGUUGGGGUGGGGUUCUUUUUUUUACAACAAUAAGCAGCCAUAGCCUGCUCACUGUUUAGUAGACAUGCCCCUACUCGCGUUAUAGCGAGUGGGGGCAGUCUAUGUACUAUUACGAAGUACUGAAUAAUGGUUGACUUUUGGUAAAUAGCUCCCUAAUUCCCACGGUAUAAGUGCGAUACCUACUAGGACUAAGCGGCUGCAAGAUACAGAUGCGGCACGAAUCGGAUCGCAAUUUUAUUCGUUAUAAUGAAAUUCUGAUGCAAACAGAAAGUACCAAACGUCAUCCUAACAUGAACGAAAAAACUUUUCUCACGGUUAUGACGAAAUUCAGUAGUUUUUGCCGGCAUCCUGUCUGUUUCACUGGAAUAGUGAAAGGAGGCAUUGUGAGAUCACAGUGGAAAGUGUGAGUAUUGUAGGGAAAUUCCUUUGAUCACGGGAAGUGGGUCAAAGCUGAUCAAGCGUAGGAAAAAACAAAAACAUAAGACUGACUUUGUCUUUAUGUUUUAAAGAAAACUAGAUCAGAUCGUAAGAAAAUAUGAACAGAUCCUGAGAGAGAGAAGCAAUUAGGGAAAGGCAAGUACACCGUCACAGUGCUGCUUUUGCCAUGAAAUAGUAGUAUUUUAAAAAUAAUUAAUAAUUAUUCCAAGCUUCAAAAAACACUUUUAAAAAAAUAUUUUACAAAAAUUUCCUCUCUGCUAAAAAUUUUUUGGGUUUCCUUCGAUGACAUGGGAACAAUAUAACAUAAGAGCUCCUUUGCUUUCAAUAUUUUUGUGUACAUACAAAUGACCACUAGUAGCCAGCAUUUUUAGAAGGCUGUACCUUUACAAUAGGAAAGGGGACAGUCACUUGCCGCUAUUGCUACAGUUUCUAAAAUACAUCACAUUGAAAUCCAAGUAAUAUCUGCAUUGUGUAGCUCUUUGUUUAUUGCUCUUCAUAUACAUAUAUAAAAUAUUGACUUUGGUAUUCCACCCACUUAUAAAAUUGUGUACUAAUAUAUAUGUCUUUACAUAAAUUUGAUUUUUUUUUUUUUUAUUAGAGAGUAACUCAACAGCAAAGAAUCAUCUUACAAUUUUCAGCAUACGCGCAGUUUUAUGCUUACUCCCAAUUGUCACACUUGCAAUUCUCAUAUAUCACUGGAGAUGCCAAUAAAUAUCUGCGAUUGGAGAUAUUACUGCUGUUUGUAAAAGGUGCCCUGUUUUUGAAGUCUACACAGUCCUCCCUCGCCUAAGUUUUGAAUGCAGUGUUUACAGGACAUUAGUGAAAGGCAAUUCAAGAAUUACUAAUGUCAGUGGGUGAAGCUAAGAAAAAGACAACUGGUUGGAGUAAGACUGUGGUUAUUAGUAAAAGGUAUUUAAAACUAUAGCUUCAUCAUUUUACAUGCAUAUCAUUUGCAAAAGAAGAUACCAGAGGAAAUGGCAUAUGAUAUAUUUUGAUCCUUAUGGUACAGUAAUUUUUUUCACCUACUUUUAUUGUUUGAUAGUGUAUUUUUGCAUUUUUAGUAUAUGUGCAUUGCAAUUGUUUUAUUUUGUAAAUUUGACGUAAUAAAGAAAUAACAAAAAUUUUGUUCAGCUUUAUCUCCU
Non-coding RNA from Pelobates cultripes (western spadefoot toad), 3127 nucleotides. NCBI's taxonomy places the organism in Eukaryota, Metazoa, Chordata, Amphibia, Anura, Pelobatidae. The record is from the annotation of a GenBank genome assembly.